Stegostoma tigrinum is the source of this 2971-nucleotide long non-coding RNA. RefSeq lists it as uncharacterized. NCBI's taxonomy places the organism in Eukaryota, Metazoa, Chordata, Chondrichthyes, Orectolobiformes, Stegostomatidae. The record is from RefSeq and is a predicted model, not a curated record. The transcript has 4 exons.
UUGGGUCAUACCUGAGGUGGGGAGGGUAGGAGGGGGUGUUGGAGAGAUGGCACUUGGGCGCAGCGAUGUAGAGGUCAGUGCACCACCUCCCACCCCGCCCCUUACCAGUGGUUUUGAUGGUGAGGUUGGGGUUGGAGUGGAGGGAGCAGAGGGCUGUGCGUUUUGUUGGAGAGAAGUUGGAUUGCAUGAGAGGGGCAGAGAGAUUCAGGCAAUUGAUAUCACAAGGGCAGUUGGAGAUGAAGAGGUCGAGAUAGGGUAGGAGGUGGUGGGGUGGUGUCCAGGGAGGUAAGGUUUGUUAGAGGCAGGAGAAAGGGUGGGUUAGACUCCCGGUCAAAGAAAUAGGCCUCAACAUAGGAUGAGGAGAUUUUAAAACUGAUACUCAACUGCCGUGGUCGCCACAAAUUUGUGAUCGGCAAGCUUGAAGCCCAACAAAAAUGAAUACAAAGGAGCUGCUUUAUUACGAGGAAGUGACGUGGGCAUUUACCAGCAUGGUCAGCAUCUGUUGCCUACCCUCUGCAUCCAUCGGUUUAGGUAUAUCAAGAGUGCUGCAGGAAAGGGAGCACCAGGAUCUUGUUCCUUCAGAAGAAAAGCUGGAUCUUCCGCACCCUCUGGAGAAGUGUGACGGUGGAAGAUGGAAAGGAAAACAUGAAGGGGAGGCCGGAAGAGUGCUGAAAUAGCAAGAAAGCAAGAACUCAGAAAGGAAGCACAAAUACAAAAAAGCAAGAGGUGUGAUUGUCAAGAACGCAUGCCAUAUAUUGAAGAAAUACUAGUAAGUGAUGUGCAAAAUACAGGGAAAACUGACAAACACAAGCACAGACAGACCACCAUCUUUGAACACUUCUCCAUUAUUCAUUGAUGAACAGUGGAAAUUUUCAGCCAUUCAAGACAUACACCGAGUGCUAGUAAUACAUCUAACAUGAGGAAAAGAGAGAGACUUGCAUUUAAUUGAAUGUUUGAUCUGGUUAAUUCUUUGUUUAAAGCUACCUUUUUUGAUAAUCUUAAGUAUUUCUAUAUGAAUUGGAUGAAACUGAUUGAAUAACUCAGGUCACAACUUUGGCAGUACCGACAUGAUGGGCUGAACGGCAUCUUCUGAACUGUAGGAUUCUAUGAACUCGCAGUUGUAGCUAACCAUAUAUUCUGCUUCCAGCAUGUUUCUGAUGGACUGCACAUGGAAGUUCUGGUUUCGUCCUUGGCUCAUCAGUUUUUGCAGCUCUUAAAGCAACACAGUUCUCAGUGAUAACUUAACAAGUCAGAUUACUAAGUGUGAAAUGUAUAAACAAGAAUUUCAAAUAUUUUAAGAGUCUGCAUUAUGUACUGGUGGUUUGACAAUUCCUUCAGAACCUGUGAUAUCUUAACAUUUCAGAGGUUUAGACUUCACACUUGGGUGUCUGAAAUCUGUAGAUGUUUUGGAAUCUUGCAUGUUGUUAGCAGUUUGACUGCUGCUGUCUUGGGUUUCUGUAUCCUCAUUAUCUAAGCUUCUCUCUGUGAAUGCUUUACGCAGAGCGGGAGUAUUGUACAGCUCCUCGUUUCUCCACAAUGUUGCUGUAUUAGAUGUUGUGACUUUGUAGGAUUUUGAAAAUGUCUAUGGGUAGCAUGUGUAAAGAUGUAGCUCUCUGACCUCCCAUCCUGUGCAUAGGAGGGAGGAUGUUGCUGGGACUGGAGGGUUUGAGUAAUAAGGAAAGGCUGGGAGGCUUUUCAUUGGAGCAUGGAAGAUUGAGGGGUGACCUUACAGAGAUUUAUAAAAUCAUGAGGGGCGUAGAUAGGAUGAAUAGCAAAACGUGAGGGAGUUCAAAACUAAGGGACAUAUUUUUAGGUGGGAGGAGAAAGACUUUAAAAAGGGACCUGAAGGGCAACAAAGGCUGGUUCAUAGGUGGAAUGAACAGCAAGAGGAAGUGAUAGAUACAGGUACAGUUACAAUGGAAGGAUAUGGGUCAAACGCAGGCAAGUGGGAAUUGGUUAAGUUUGGGAAACUUGGUUGGUAUGGACGAGUUGAACUGAAGGGUGUGUUUCCAUGCUGUGUGACUCUAUGAAUUACAGCGAGGAAUUCUGAUGCCGAACACAAUAUACAAAUAACUGAAUGAGCAGACUGGAAAUUUCCACACCAGCUCCUCACUGGAAAAGGACAGCACUUAGUCAAGGCAGUGAUUCACUCAUAGUCAUGGCUCAGGGCUGAGAAUGUAAGGAGAAAAUCACCUUAAAUGGGCACACCCUUGACGUGAAGGAGCACGUGAAGCAUACAGCACUCUCAGCACAUGAAUGGCACACACAAAUGAUACAAUGGUGGUUUACGAUAUUUUGUAUACACUGCAGUGACUAUAAUGAGUUCAGCCAGGUAGACUGCAAAGAAUAUGAGUUCCCUGAUUAGGAUGUUAACUUGGUUCAAAUUCGGCUGACAGACAUAAAAAGGAACGUCAGUGGUUUGGUUUGCUCAGAGCUGGAUCAAUGCCACAUACUAUGUAUGUAUAAAUAAAGGGUGACUUAGUAAUGGGAUACCACCCUCUGUGAAGUUAUUUCACACACAAGCUAAAAAAAGCAAGUAGUUCCCAAAGGAGAACAAAAUGUGGUAACCAGCCUUGAUUUCCAUAUUCUGCUUGUCUGUUCUGAAUAAAACUCUUUCCAUCACUUUCCAACUCUCCCUUCAGCAUGCAAAAAGUUUUUAACCACUAUCCCUCCCAUGCUUCCUGGAUCAGCCCUUCAAAUUAUAGAUUCCCACCUUCCUUCCCUGGCUGCUUUUCUAAUCUCGGAUUCUCUCAGUGGAGAGGCUGGAGCAAUAAGCAAGGGAGAGGUGAAUCUGAACUGUUCAGAUCUGAAGACUCGAAGCAUGCUUUCUCUCCACAAAUGCUGCCAGACCUGUGGAGUUUUUCCAGCAAUUUCCAUUUUUGUUUCAGAUGUCCAGCAUCCACAGUUCUGAGCCUUUUUUUUAAGGGGUGUAUCUGCAAUUGGAGGAGCAGUGAGCAGGGGAGAGACAGAA